UUUUAUCUUUUAUAUUACUAUUUUCUCUUCCAAUUACGUUUUUAUUGCACUUUUCUUCUCAAUCUCGCAUCUCUUAUGUUCUUUUUUUCAUCUUCUCUAAUCUCUCAUCUCAUAUGUUUUUUUAUGUUUUAUUAUAAUGUCAUCUUAUGUUCUUUUUUUCAUCUUCUCUAAUCUCUCAUCUCAUAUGUUUUUUUAUGUUUUAUUAUAAUGUCUUUGAUAUUAUUUUAUGCUACUAUUUAUAUUUGUCUUUUAUUCCACUUUUGUCUAAUAUGGUUUUUUGUAUAUUGAAUGAAAUGUUUUUGUCUAAAUAUGAUGAAUUUUGAUGUUAUUUAGUAAUGUAUGAAUGACUAAACACAAAGUUAUAUCGUUAUUUAUAGGAGUAUAUAUGGCUCAAUAAAAAUAUU
RNAcentral lists this long non-coding RNA (404 nucleotides) under Lathyrus oleraceus (garden pea). RNAcentral's name for it is "Pisum sativum (pea) long non-coding RNA (PSAT_LNC012670)". Lineage: Eukaryota; Viridiplantae; Streptophyta; Magnoliopsida; Fabales; Fabaceae. The record is from RNAcentral.